AAUGCCUCCAUGUUACCUCAGGUCCUACUGCCUCAUCAAUGCCUCCAUGUUACCUCAGGUCCUACUGCCUCAUCAAUGCCUCCAUGUUACCUCAGGUCCUACUGCCUCAUCAAUGCAUGUUACCUCAGGUCCUACUGCCUCAUCAACACCUCCAUAUUACUGUAGGUCCUACUGCCUCAUCAAUGCCUCCAUGUUACCUCAGGUCCUACUGCCUCAUCAAUGUCUCCAUGUUACUGCAGGUCCUACUGCCUCAUCAAUGCCUCCAUGUUACCUCAGGUCCUACUGCCUCAUCAAUGCCUCCAUGUUACUGCAGGUCCUACUGCCUCAUCAAUGCCUCCAUGUUACCUCAGGUCCUACUGCCUCAUCAAUGCCUCCAUGUUACUGUAGGUCCUACUGCCUCAUCAAUGCCUCCAUGUUACUGCAGGUCCUACUGCCUCAUCAAUGCCUCCAUGUUACCUCAGGUCCUACUGCCUCAUCAAUGCC
Long non-coding RNA from Oncorhynchus keta (chum salmon), 483 nucleotides. RefSeq lists it as uncharacterized. Lineage: Eukaryota; Metazoa; Chordata; Actinopteri; Salmoniformes; Salmonidae. The transcript has 3 exons. The record is from RefSeq and is a predicted model, not a curated record.